UUGACCUCAAAUCAGGUAGGACUACCCGCUGAACUUAAGCAUAUCAAUAAGCGGAGGAAAAGAAACUAACAAGGAUUCCCUUAGUAACUGCGAGUGAAGAGGGAAAAGCUCAAAUUUAAAAUCUGGCAGUGUUUUGCUGUCCGAGUUGUAACCUAGAGAAGUGUAGCCUGUGCUGGACCGUGUACAAGUCUCCUGGAAUGGAGCAUCGCAGAGGGUGAGAAUCCCGUCUUUGACAUGGACUACCAGUGCAUUGUGGUUGCGCUCUCAACGAGUCGAGUUGUUUGGGAAUGCAGCUCUAAAUGGGUGGUAAAUUCCAUCUAAAGCUAAAUAUUGGCGAGAGACCGAUAGCGAACAAGUACCGUGAGGGAAAGAUGAAAAGAACUUUGGAAAGAGAGUUAAACAGUAUGUGAAAUUGUUGAAAGGGAAACGUUUGAAGUCAGUCGCGUUGGCUGGGGAUCAACCUGACCAUUUGGUUGGGUGUACUUCCUGGUUGAUGGGUCAACAUCAGUUUUGACUGCCAGAAAAAGGCAGAGGGAAUGUGGCACCUUUUAGGUGUGUUAUAGCUCUCUGUCAUAUAUGGUGGUUGGGACUGAGGAAAGCAGCGUGCCGAAAGGCCGGGUUUCGACCACGUUCAC
This 635-nucleotide ribosomal RNA is filed under the name Amanita canescens. Its description in RNAcentral is "partial 28S ribosomal RNA". It matches the Rfam family "Eukaryotic large subunit ribosomal RNA", at positions 1 to 612 of the family's 3401-position model. Lineage: Eukaryota; Fungi; Basidiomycota; Agaricomycetes; Agaricales; Amanitaceae. The record is from RNAcentral.